GGUACUAAGUUCAAUGCUGGCAGUCGUUUCUUCUUUUUUUUUCUUUUCUGUUUUGCUCACCGAUUUCUCGUUAGCACUUAGCACAGUGUCUGGCACACGAUAGAUGCUCCGUCAACUUCUCAGUUGGAUACCAGCAUCCCGAAGGGAACAUGGAUUAAGGCAGCUAUAAGCACGGUGUAAAAACAGGAAUAAGAAAAAGUUGAGGUUUGUUUCACAGUGGAAUGUAAAGGGUUGCAAGGAGGUGCAUCGGCCCCUGUGGACAGGACGCAUGACUGCUACACACGUGUUCACCCCACCCUCUGGCACAGGGUGCACAUACAGUAGGGGCAGAAAUGAACCUCAAGUGCUUAACACAAUUUUUAAAAAAUAUAUAGUCAAGUGAAAGUAUGAAAAUGAGUUGAGGAAAGGCGAGUACGUGGGUCAAAGCUGGGUCUGAGGAAAGGCUCACAUUUUGAGAUCCCGACUCAAUCCAUGUCCCUUAAAGGGCACAGGGUGUCUCCACAGGGCCGCCCAAAAUCUGGUGAGAGAGGGCGUAGACGCCUCACCUUCUGCCUCUACGGGUCACAAAAGCCUGGGUCACCCUGGUUGCCACUGUUCCUAGUUCAAAGUCUUCUUCUGUCUAAUCCUUCACCCCUAUUCUCGCCUUCCACUCCACCUCCCGCUCAGUCAGACUGCGCUACUUUGAACCGGACCAAACCAAACCAAACCAAACCAAACCAAACCAGACCAGACACCCCCUCCCGCGGAAUCCCAGAGAGGCCGAACUGGGAUAACCGGAUGCAUUUGAUUUCCCACGCCACUGAGUGCACCUCUGCAGAAAUGGGCGUUCUGGCCCUCGCGAGGCAGUGCGACCUGUCACCGCCCUUCAGCCUUCCCGCCCUCCACCA
RNAcentral lists this small RNA (887 nucleotides) under Homo sapiens (human). RNAcentral's name for it is "partial FMR5". Lineage: Eukaryota; Metazoa; Chordata; Mammalia; Primates; Hominidae. The record is from RNAcentral.